Molecule: long non-coding RNA, 248 nt
Filed under: Homo sapiens (human)
Lineage: Eukaryota; Metazoa; Chordata; Mammalia; Primates; Hominidae
Description: HSALNT0048487
Source: RNAcentral
GCUUCUUUUACCCUCACAAAAUCUUUAACAUCGAUAUGCAAACAGCUGUAUGUCUAUCUUACAGACUGAGAAAUAAAGCACAGAAAUGCAAGCAGGAUAUUAUCACAAAGGCAAAGUAGAAAAGGAAGAGUGGGCACCAGUGUCCUGGAUGUGUCACUGGGUGAUGGUUGUGCAAGGCCAGCUGGGGGUUCAGGGCCAGGUCACAGGGUCAGAAUAGAAAGAAGUCCAAGGAGUUCUGCAGGUUCCCG